GGUUAAGCGACUAAGCGUACACGGUGGAUGCCCUGGCAGUCAGAGGCGAUGAAGGACGUGCUAAUCUGCGAUAAGCGUCGGUAAGGUGAUAUGAACCGUUAUAACCGGCGAUUUCCGAAUGGGGAAACCCAGUGUGAUUCGUCACACUAUCAUUAACUGAAUCCAUAGGUUAAUGAGGCGAACCGGGGGAACUGAAACAUCUAAGUACCCCGAGGAAAAGAAAUCAACCGAGAUUCCCCCAGUAGCGGCGAGCGAACGGGGAGGAGCCCAGAGCCUGAAUCAGUGUGUGUGUUAGUGGAAGCGUCUGGAAAGGCGCGCGAUACAGGGUGACAGCCCCGUACACAAAAAUGCACAUACUGUGAGCUCGAUGAGUAGGGCGGGACACGUGGUAUCCUGUCUGAAUAUGGGGGGACCAUCCUCCAAGGCUAAAUACUCCUGACUGACCGAUAGUGAACCAGUACCGUGAGGGAAAGGCGAAAAGAACCCCGGCGAGGGGAGUGAAAAAGAACCUGAAACCGUGUACGUACAAGCAGUGGGAGCCUCUUUAUGGGGUGACUGCGUACCUUUUGUAUAAUGGGUCAGCGACUUAUAUUCUGUAGCAAGGUUAACCGAAUAGGGGAGCCGAAGGGAAACCGAGUCUUAACUGGGCGUUAAGUUGCAGGGUAUAGACCCGAAACCCGGUGAUCUAGCCAUGGGCAGGUUGAAGGUUGGGUAACACUAACUGGAGGACCGAACCGACUAAUGUUGAAAAAUUAGCGGAUGACUUGUGGCUGGGGGUGAAAGGCCAAUCAAACCGGGAGAUAGCUGGUUCUCCCCGAAAGCUAUUUAGGUAGCGCCUCGUGAAUUCAUCUCCGGGGGUAGAGCACUGUUUCGGCAAGGGGGUCAUCCCGACUUACCAACCCGAUGCAAACUGCGAAUACCGGAGAAUGUUAUCACGGGAGACACACGGCGGGUGCUAACGUCCGUCGUGAAGAGGGAAACAACCCAGACCGCCAGCUAAGGUCCCAAAGUCAUGGUUAAGUGGGAAACGAUGUGGGAAGGCCCAGACAGCCAGGAUGUUGGCUUAGAAGCAGCCAUCAUUUAAAGAAAGCGUAAUAGCUCACUGGUCGAGUCGGCCUGCGCGGAAGAUGUAACGGGGCUAAACCAUGCACCGAAGCUGCGGCAGCGACACUAUGUGUUGUUGGGUAGGGGAGCGUUCUGUAAGCCUGUGAAGGUGUACUGUGAGGUAUGCUGGAGGUAUCAGAAGUGCGAAUGCUGACAUAAGUAACGAUAAAGCGGGUGAAAAGCCCGCUCGCCGGAAGACCAAGGGUUCCUGUCCAACGUUAAUCGGGGCAGGGUGAGUCGACCCCUAAGGCGAGGCCGAAAGGCGUAGUCGAUGGGAAACAGGUUAAUAUUCCUGUACUUGGUGUUACUGCGAAGGGGGGACGGAGAAGGCUAUGUUGGCCGGGCGACGGUUGUCCCGGUUUAAGCGUGUAGGCUGGUUUUCCAGGCAAAUCCGGAAAAUCAAGGCUGAGGCGUGAUGACGAGGCACUACGGUGCUGAAGCAACAAAUGCCCUGCUUCCAGGAAAAGCCUCUAAGCAUCAGGUAACAUCAAAUCGUACCCCAAACCGACACAGGUGGUCAGGUAGAGAAUACCAAGGCGCUUGAGAGAACUCGGGUGAAGGAACUAGGCAAAAUGGUGCCGUAACUUCGGGAGAAGGCACGCUGAUAUGUAGGUGAAGCGACUUGCUCGUGGAGCUGAAAUCAGUCGAAGAUACCAGCUGGCUGCAACUGUUUAUUAAAAACACAGCACUGUGCAAACACGAAAGUGGACGUAUACGGUGUGACGCCUGCCCGGUGCCGGAAGGUUAAUUGAUGGGGUUAGCGGUAACGCGAAGCUCUUGAUCGAAGCCCCGGUAAACGGCGGCCGUAACUAUAACGGUCCUAAGGUAGCGAAAUUCCUUGUCGGGUAAGUUCCGACCUGCACGAAUGGCGUAAUGAUGGCCAGGCUGUCUCCACCCGAGACUCAGUGAAAUUGAACUCGCUGUGAAGAUGCAGUGUACCCGCGGCAAGACGGAAAGACCCCGUGAACCUUUACUAUAGCUUGACACUGAACAUUGAGCCUUGAUGUGUAGGAUAGGUGGGAGGCUUUGAAGUGUGGACGCCAGUCUGCAUGGAGCCGGCCUUGAAAUACCACCCUUUAAUGUUUGAUGUUCUAACGUUGGCCCCUGACCGGGGUUGCGGACAGUGUCUGGUGGGUAGUUUGACUGGGGCGGUCUCCUCCUAAAGAGUAACGGAGGAGCACGAAGGUUGGCUAAUCCUGGUCGGACAUCAGGAGGUUAGUGCAAUGGCAUAAGCCAGCUUGACUGCGAGCGUGACGGCGCGAGCAGGUGCGAAAGCAGGUCAUAGUGAUCCGGUGGUUCUGAAUGGAAGGGCCAUCGCUCAACGGAUAAAAGGUACUCCGGGGAUAACAGGCUGAUACCGCCCAAGAGUUCAUAUCGACGGCGGUGUUUGGCACCUCGAUGUCGGCUCAUCACAUCCUGGGGCUGAAGUAGGUCCCAAGGGUAUGGCUGUUCGCCAUUUAAAGUGGUACGCGAGCUGGGUUUAGAACGUCGUGAGACAGUUCGGUCCCUAUCUGCCGUGGGCGCUGGAGAACUGAGGGGGGCUGCUCCUAGUACGAGAGGACCGGAGUGGACGCAUCACUGGUGUUCGGGUUGUCAUGCCAAUGGCACUGCCCGGUAGCUAAAUGCGGAAGAGAUAAGUGCUGAAAGCAUCUAAGCACGAAACUUGCCCCGAGAUGAGUUCUCCCUGACUCCUUGAGAGUCCUGAAGGAACGUUGAAGACGACGACGUUGAUAGGCCGGGUGUGUAAGCGCAGCGAUGCGUUGAGCUAACCGGUACUAAUGAACCGUGAGGCUUAACCUU
RNAcentral lists this ribosomal RNA (2904 nucleotides) under Escherichia coli. RNAcentral's name for it is "23S ribosomal RNA". It matches the Rfam family "Bacterial large subunit ribosomal RNA". The record is from RNAcentral. Lineage: Bacteria; Pseudomonadati; Pseudomonadota; Gammaproteobacteria; Enterobacterales; Enterobacteriaceae.